RNAcentral lists this ribosomal RNA (301 nucleotides) under uncultured bacterium. RNAcentral describes it as "partial 16S ribosomal RNA". It matches the Rfam family "Bacterial small subunit ribosomal RNA", at positions 509 to 807 of the family's 1533-position model. The record is from RNAcentral.
CAGUAGCCGCGGGAAUACGGAGGGGGCUAGCGUUGUUCGGAAUUACUGGGCGUAAAGCGCACGUAGGCGGCUUGGUAAGUUAGAGGUGAAAGCCUGGAGCUCAACUCCAGAAUUGCCUUUAAGACUGCCGAGCUAGCAGGUGAGAGAGGUAAGUGGAAUUCCGAAUGUAGAGGUGAAAUUCGUAGAUAUUCGGAAGAACACCAGUGGCGAAGGCGGCUUACUGGCUCAUACUGGACGCUGAGGUGCGAAAGCGUGGGGAGCAAACAGGAUAAGAGACCCGAGUAGUCCCUGUCUCUUAUAC